This 246-nucleotide unclassified non-coding RNA is filed under the name Hevea brasiliensis (rubber tree). Lineage: Eukaryota; Viridiplantae; Streptophyta; Magnoliopsida; Malpighiales; Euphorbiaceae. The record is from RNAcentral.
GGAAGUUCAGCGCGUGGCUGCGAAAUGCCACGCACAUUGUGCUGUCGAUCGCGGAAUUCCAUUCGGUGGCGGACGCGAUCGUGCGCGGGAACUACUUCGACGUACUCCACACGUUCGCUACCGCCGGCAAGCGGCGCGAGCCGAACGUACGAGAUCGUCGCCCGGACCAAGAACAACCCGGACUUGAUGUCCGUUGGCGAGGAGAACGAUAUCGAUGAGAUGCGCUGCUCGCCCGCGAUCGGGCAG